CUCGUACCUUUUGCAUCAUGGUCUAGGUAGUUUAAACAAGCAAAACGAAUUUUAGUUUGCCCCCCCGAAACUAAGUGAGCUACUUCAAAACAGCCCCAGGGCCAACCCGUCUCUGUUGCAAAAGAGUGGGAAGAUUUUCAAGUAGAGGUGAUAAACCUACCGAACUUAAANAUAGCUGGUUACUUAAGAAACGAAUAUUAGUUCGACCCUGAACCUNCCAUUAAACAAAAACUCCUAUUAGGCUCAGGAUUUAUUCAAAUAAGGCACAGCUUGUUUGAACUAGGAUACAACCUCGAAUAAAGGGUAAAACUAUAGAUAUGCUCAGUAAGUAGGCCUAAAAGCAGCCACCUUUAAAAAAGCGUCAAAGCUUAACAUCAUUAAUCUCCUCAAUACCUUAAUUUUUCUUCAGCCCUUUCCUACUAUUAAGUGACCCCAUAACUUUAUGGGAGCUAUUAUGCUAGAACUAGUAACAAGAAAAAGAUUUUUCUCCAAAAUGUAAGUUUAAGCCACAAUAGACCACCUACUGGCAAUCAACGCAAAUGAGCCCCAUUUAGUAACGCCCCAAGAAAACCCUAAAAAAUUUUAGCGUCAACCUUACACUAGAGCAUUCAUGGAAAGAUUAAAAGGGGUGGAAGGAACUCGGCAAAUUUUGAUCCCGCCUGUUUAC
Molecule: ribosomal RNA, 667 nt
Filed under: Boophis sp. ZSM 685_2000
Lineage: Eukaryota; Metazoa; Chordata; Amphibia; Anura; Mantellidae
Description: partial 16S ribosomal RNA
Rfam family: Bacterial large subunit ribosomal RNA
Source: RNAcentral